RNAcentral lists this ribosomal RNA (407 nucleotides) under bacterium Ellin429. RNAcentral's name for it is "bacterial SSU rRNA". It matches the Rfam family "Bacterial small subunit ribosomal RNA", at positions 24 to 457 of the family's 1533-position model. The record is from RNAcentral. Lineage: Bacteria; Pseudomonadati; Pseudomonadota; Alphaproteobacteria.
UCAGAACGAACGCUGGCGGCAGGCUUAACACAUGCAAGUCGAACGCGUGUAGCAAUACACGAGUGGCGCACGGGUGAGUAACGCGUGGAUAUCUACCUUUUGGUUCGGAAUAACCCCGGGAAACUGGGGCUAAUACCGGAUGGUUCCUACGGGAUAAAGAUUUAUCGCCAAAAGAUGAGUCCGCGUCCGAUUAGCUAGUUGGUGGGGUAACGGCCUACCAAGGCGACGAUCGGUAGCUGGUCUGAGAGGACGAUCAGCCACACUGGGACUGAGACACGGCCCAGACUCCUACGGGAGGCAGCAGUGGGGAAUAUUGGACAAUGGGGGCAACCCUGAUCCAGCCAUGCCGCGUGAGUGAUGAAGGCCUUCGGGUUGUAAAGCUCUUUUGGCGGGGACGAUGAUGACGG